RNAcentral lists this transfer RNA (77 nucleotides) under Chitinivibrionales bacterium. Its description in RNAcentral is "tRNA-Arg". It matches the Rfam family "tRNA". From Rfam's summary of the family: Transfer RNA (tRNA) molecules are approximately 80 nucleotides in length. The record is from RNAcentral. Lineage: Bacteria; Pseudomonadati; Fibrobacterota; Chitinivibrionia; Chitinivibrionales.
GCGCCCAUAGCUCAGCUGGAUAGAGUGUUGGACUACGAAUCCAAAGGUCGCAGGUUCGAAUCCUGCUGGGCGCGCCA